RNAcentral lists this microRNA (19 nucleotides) under Caenorhabditis elegans. RNAcentral describes it as "cel-miR-8188-5p". The record is from miRBase by way of RNAcentral. Lineage: Eukaryota; Metazoa; Nematoda; Chromadorea; Rhabditida; Rhabditidae.
AGGCAAGAUGUAGGCACGU